GACGAACGCUGGCGGCGUGCUUAACACAUGCAAGUCGAACGGUAAGGCCCUUCGGGGUACACGAGUGGCGAACGGGUGAGUAACACGUGGGUGAUCUGCCCUGCACUUCGGGAUAAGCCUGGGAAACUGGGUCUAAUACCGGAUAGGACCAUGGACUUCACGGUUUGUGGUGGAAAGCUUUUGCGGUGUGGGAUGGGCCCGCGGCCUAUCAGCUUGUUGGUGGGGUAAUGGCCUACCAAGGCGACGACGGGUAGCCGGCCUGAGAGGGUGUCCGGCCACACUGGGACUGAGAUACGGCCCAGACUCCUACGGGAGGCAGCAGUGGGGAAUAUUGCACAAUGGGCGCAAGCCUGAUGCAGCGACGCCGCGUGAGGGACGACGGCCUUC
RNAcentral lists this ribosomal RNA (387 nucleotides) under uncultured bacterium. RNAcentral's name for it is "bacterial SSU rRNA". It matches the Rfam family "Bacterial small subunit ribosomal RNA", at positions 28 to 419 of the family's 1533-position model. The record is from RNAcentral.